Molecule: non-coding RNA, 131 nt
Organism: Caenorhabditis elegans
Lineage: Eukaryota; Metazoa; Nematoda; Chromadorea; Rhabditida; Rhabditidae
Source: Ensembl
AAGGAUAUGAUACUAGAUCCCAUAAAAAGGCGACAACCUCAUCCUUCUUUCUCCCACAUGUCGCCAGUCGGCACCGUCCAUAAAACAUAAAAUGCUUGUAUUUGUGACCUGUGAGGCGCCACGCAUUCUCA